This 117-nucleotide non-coding RNA is filed under the name Geobacteraceae bacterium. RNAcentral's name for it is "MoCo sequence". It matches the Rfam family "Molybdenum/Tungsten riboswitch aptamer (Moco RNA motif)". The record is from RNAcentral. Lineage: Bacteria; Pseudomonadati; Thermodesulfobacteriota; Desulfuromonadia; Geobacterales; Geobacteraceae.
CAAACAAUUUAACUCCGAGCCUUAUCGCCUACAGGACCCAUCCCACGGCGACAGGCCAUCGGGUUGCGCGGGAAACGGCGCAGCCUUCCUUUGAAAAGGAGAAUUUCACUGUGCCAG